GAGUUUGAUCCUGGCUCAGGACGAACGCUGGCGGUGUGCUUCACACAUGCAAGUCGAACGGGGUAGCAAUACCCAGUGGCGGACGGGUGAGUAACACGUGGGAAUCUACCAUUAGAUGGGGAAUAACAGGCCGAAAGGACUGCUAAUGCCGCAUAUGUAGGCAUCUCGACAGAGGUGUUUAUGAAAGGAGUAAUCCGUCUGACGAUGAGCCCGCGUCCGAUUAGCUAGUUGGUAGGUAAAGCCUACCAAGGCGACGAUCGGUAGGUGGUCUGAGAGGAUGAUCACCCACAAUGGGACUGAGACACGGCCCAUACUCCUACGGGAGGCAGCAGUGGGGAAUUUUACGCAAUGGGGAACCCUGACGUAGCGACACCGCGUGAGCGAAGAAGCCCUUU
This 395-nucleotide ribosomal RNA is filed under the name uncultured Alphaproteobacteria bacterium. RNAcentral's name for it is "bacterial SSU rRNA". It matches the Rfam family "Bacterial small subunit ribosomal RNA", at positions 9 to 419 of the family's 1533-position model. Lineage: Bacteria; Pseudomonadati; Pseudomonadota; Alphaproteobacteria. The record is from RNAcentral.